AUGGGAGAGCCAAGCAAUCCAAUGUCAGUGCAGAGCAAUUGCAGAGAAAGUCUUGCAGCAAUUUGCAAUUACUUAGCGUCAGGAGUGUGACAAAUAUGGCUGCUUUUUCCUGAACCUUGCAGUCCUUCACUUGCAAUUGCUACAAGAAAGAGUUGAGCAUGUCACAAAGUUACAGUUGGUUAAGAAUUGGCAUGACUGAAGCAGAGUGUUUCUUGGAAAGGACAUGCUGGGGUCGGCUGUUACUUGUCUCUGCCCCAGCACGGGAAAAGGUGGUUCUGGGCAGGCCGCACUCUCGAAGAAGGAGUCUGGACUCUCGCUUUUCGGUCUUCAGUUGAGUUUAUUGUUCCUUAUCUACAAAGUUUUUCUGUCUGUCCAGCCGAGGUCUGAUCAGCAAGACAGCCAAGGGCACUCUCUCCCACCCACGGGGCGGUUGUCUCUUUUAUAGUGAAAACUACGUAUUAGAUAUUUACCUUUAAUUUCCAAUCCUUUCUGCCCUUGUUGGCAAGUGCACUUUCUCUAUGAACCAAUCCACACAUGCCAACAUCAUCCUGAACAUGGAUGCCAAGGGAAGAAAGAAGAAGGACAGGGCACGCCCAAAUUCCUCCAUCUUGGGACUCCUGAUCCAUGCACAGAAUUCUUGACUCCCCUGUACAACACAUAAAACCCCCAUGUACAGUGCAUUAUAACUCAAGUUUUAGCAAGUGAAUAUCAUCCCCUCACCAUUCAGGCCUGAAAUUCUCUCAUUUCCUCACAUUCAGGUGUCAUUUCUUUAGAAGGAUCAAAGUCAAGCCACCAGGUACUUUUGGCAACAUUCCAGGGCUUCCGAGCCGCCCAAGGGUUGUCUCGGUAGCUCUGGACAUCCGGAGUGAUGUACUGAGUUCCCACAAGGACACGCACAUGUUCUUAGCAUAAGCAGAGGGGAGCCUGGUGUGAAGAAACCACCAAAGACCCAGAGAUGAACUGAAUUAAAAAAUGUUGUGUAAGGAACAGCCUAGAGAGGAGACAAUUUUGAGCUUGCAGUGUUGGUGUGCUCAGGCUGUGGCCACUUGGAGACUUGGAUGGACUGAAUCUCCUGUAAAGGAGAAAUGCACAGCCUUGUGACCAGGAUUGUGCUGAGCAUCACCCAUUACCUGUUCCAAACCUCUAUUCCAAACUAAAAGGACCUACAAGACCUCAAGUAUUGUCUCUCCCUCAAACUGUAAGAGCUGUAGCAUCCAUCAAUUUUCUGUGAAAGCCCAACACAUCCUCUUUGGUAAGGUGGGAGGUGGAGACACAGCACUGUGAUUUACUCACAUAUUACCCAGAUGUGUCUGCAGAUAUGCAGGUAAAUUUGGAGCUUUGGCACGCCCAGGAAAGUACCUACAGUGAUCUUUGAUCCAGCAGAACUGUGCUGCCUCCAAGAGGAAAGGCCCUAUGGGAGAUGCUGUGGGAGCUGAUCUCUCUCCCACCUGUUGGUGAACCUGAGGCCGUGGUGAGCAGAAGGCUCUGACCUGGAGGGCAGAUGGAAAUCCUCUCUUUUGUGAGAAGAAUUGUGUGCCUGGAGUCUGCUGAGGAAAUAGCAGAGCACAGAUUCCUCCCAAAGGUGGGAACAGAAGAGCUGUGGCAAAUCAGCUCCAGGUGCUGUCAGUAGCAGAUGAAGAAAGGGAUUGCAGGUUGCACACUCAAGGAGAGAGGUUGGACAAAUGGGCCCAAGAACACCAGAAGCAGCCAGCCUAAGAUCAGAAAGUGGAAAAGCCACAUCUUCAGGCAACCAGUGCCUGAGCAAAGCAAAAUAGUACCCAAAACACUCACAGCAGACUAACCACCCUAAAAGAGAUAACCAGAUUCCAAAUUCAGUGGCGCAAAGCCCUGUGCAUUAAUAUUUCUGUGGUAAAGGUAUAUUUUUGUGUCAGCACACAAAUCAGCCUUUCAUUUCCUAGGUUGUUGACUGGAACCACAGCAGUUGCUUCGUGAUAACGCAGUGCCAGGCACCAGAGGAGAGCAGAAAUACUCUGUGGUCUGCAAGAGUCAGAACAUUGGAGCAAGACAGGAAGGAAGUUGGAUCAUCCGAACAUAUGCCACUAAACUGGCCAAGAUGUGUGCAGCUUGGGUAGAAGAGAUUACAGGAACAGAUUUGAAUAAUUCAUCUGCAAGAUCAAUUAUUGAAUCUGCUGUGUUUUCAGUGCAUCAACUUCUGGAGGCAUGAGAGCAUUUAAGCGGAAGGUAGAGUAUAAAUCACUGUCAUUAAAAACAGAAAAAAGAGGCACAGGUGGCCAGCAAAGAGAGAUUUGGGAAAGCAAAUCACCUGAGAAACUAUGAUUUCUUUAUUAUUUUGAGAGAGUAACAUUAUCUUAGUAAGCUGGUGGACCUUCCAGCAUGCCUAAUCUGUUUCUAGGAAGUCACUACAGGAACCCAGCUGAUUGGUGCUUGAUUGUGUUGUUUAUUUUGGGCAUUACUGUUCCUCUGGCUUUCUCCCUUUCUUCCAUGUUGUCUCUGCAAUAAAAAGCCCCAAGUGUGGGACAGCUUUUGCCAGCUGAUUGCCUUGGAACAUCAUAAGAUGGAAUAAUAGAAAUUGUUAUGUUAAAAUUAAAGAACAUAUAUCAUUCUAGAAGCUUCUGAUUACAGGAUUGGACACUAGCAACAUUCUAGCUGUGCUCAACAGAACAUGGUAUUUUACUGAAAGGGCCUAAGGGGUUUUUUUCUUGGUAGUUUUUUUUG
Passer domesticus (house sparrow) is the source of this 2697-nucleotide long non-coding RNA. RefSeq lists it as uncharacterized. The record is from RefSeq and is a predicted model, not a curated record. The transcript has 4 exons. Lineage: Eukaryota; Metazoa; Chordata; Aves; Passeriformes; Passeridae.